GAUGAACGCUAGCUACAGGCUUAACACAUGCGAGUCGAGGGGCAGCGGUAUCGAAAGCUUGCUUUCGGUAGCCGGCGACCGGCGCACGGGUGAGUAACGCGUAUCGAACCUGCCUCAUACUCGGGAAUAGCCUUGCGAAAGUAAGAUUAAUGCCCGGUGUUUUCAGAGUCCCGCAUGAGGCUUUGAACAAAGAUUUAUCGGUAUGAGAUGGCGAUGCGUCCCAUUAGCUUGUUGGCGGGGUAACGGCCCACCAAGGCAUCGAUGGGUAGGGGUUCUGAGAGGAAGGUCCCCCACAUGGGAACUGAGACACGGUCCAAACUCCUACGGGAGGCAGCAGUGAGGAAUAUUGGUCAAUGGGCGGAAGCCUGAACCAGCCAAGUAGCGUGCAGGAAGACGGCCCGCCGGGUUGUAAACUGCUUUUAGUUGGGAAUAAAACGGGGCUCGUGAGCCCCCUUGCAUGUACCAUCAGAAAAAGGACCGGCUAAUUCCGUG
Molecule: ribosomal RNA, 492 nt
Filed under: uncultured bacterium
Lineage: Bacteria
Description: partial 16S ribosomal RNA
Rfam family: Bacterial small subunit ribosomal RNA
Source: RNAcentral